Molecule: ribosomal RNA, 133 nt
Filed under: uncultured bacterium
Lineage: Bacteria
Description: partial 16S ribosomal RNA
Source: RNAcentral
CACGUAGUUGGCCGGGCUUCUUCUGUAGGUACCGUCAUUUUCUUCCCUACUGAAAGCGGUUUACAACCCGAAGGCCUUCAUCCCGCACGCGGCGUUGCUGCAUCAGGCUUUCGCCCAUUGUGCAAUAUUCCCU